This 2248-nucleotide long non-coding RNA is filed under the name Homo sapiens (human). RNAcentral describes it as "long non-coding RNA NONHSAT221357.1". Lineage: Eukaryota; Metazoa; Chordata; Mammalia; Primates; Hominidae. The record is from RNAcentral.
GCCCGCCAAGCCUCGUAGGAGAUGGCAACAGGGCCUGCUGCUGCCACCUAGCGGCCAAUUCCGGGAAUGAAUCUCGGCACGCUCAUUACCCAGCGACUCUGCCCAUCUUGACCCUUUAUGUGAAGCAGAACAGCCGCUUCCGCAGUGAGCUGUCAGAAGGCGUCGUGCCUGUCUUGCUAGUGGGGAAACUGAGGCUCAGAGAGGCAGAAGACUUGCCCAAGAUCACACCACCGGGACCCAGGAUUCAAGCGCAGGCCUGCCCAGGCUCUCUGUGGCCUCCUGGCUGCGAGGAGGCAGCCAGGGACCAGGUGCCACCCUUCUGAGACACCUGAGAUCCCAGGCCCGAGAGGAUGAAGGCGGGAUUACCUGGAGCGUGUCUGAAUGCUGGAGGAAGAAGGGCAGCUGGGAGAUGAAGCUGUCAGGAUGGGCCGCAUCCCAUUUCCUGCCUCGUUUCAGUUCAACUUUCCAACAGACCUCCCUGGCUCGUCUUGCUCUUCUCUAAUGGACAAACAAACAGGCUCAGAGAGGUGGUGUGACUUGCCCAAGGUCACUCAGCUUGGAUGCUAUGGAACAGGGACGUCCACUGUCCCAGUCUGUUUAUGGGAAGCCGCUCUGCAACUGUCCUGACCCACCACAUGCCCCACCGCUGUUUCUCUUGCCCUGACCCCUUGUUCCCUGGACCAGGGUGGCACAGCUCCAGGCUCUUGGGCCCUUCCCGAGGGCAGGCACCUGUGACUGUGUCCCCAAAGACCUGAGUGGCUGAGGGGGCCCCACAGAGCUUGGACUUCCUGGAGGACAAGGAGGGGUCUGCCAGCCACCCCCACCACGCCCGCCCCAGGGCUCCCCUGGAGCUUCCAUGCCAGCCGGACUCAGGCUCCAGGUGCUGGGAGCAGCAGUGAACAAAGCCAACAGACACUGCCACCCUCAAGGAGUUCACGUUCAUGGGCGAGGGAACAGAUGAGAAACCCGGCAAUGAAAAUGGACUCUUGCUCUGUCGCCCAGGCUGGAGUUCAGUGGCGCGAUCUUGGCUCACUGCAACCUCUGUCUUCCAGGUUCAAGCAAUUCUGCCUCAGCCUCCCAAGUAGCUGGGACUACAAGUGCACGCCACCAUGCCUGGCUAAUUUUUGUAUUUUUAAUAGAGAUGGGGUUUUUUUUUCUUUCUUUUUUUUUUUUUUUGAGACAGGGUCUCACUCUGUCACCCAGGCUGGAGUGCAGUGUCACAAUCUCGGCUCACUGCAACCUCUGCCUCUUGGGUUCAAGCAAUUCUUCUGCCUCAGCCUCCUGAGUAGCUGGUAGCUGGGACUAUAGGCACGUGCCACCACACCCAGUUAAUUUUUUGUAUUUUUAGUAGAGAUGGGGUUUCACCGGGUUAGCCAGGAUGGUCUCAAUCUCUUGACCUCGUGAUCUGCCCGUUUUGGUCUCCCAAAGUGAUGGGAUUACAGGCGUGAGCCACCGCGCCAGGCUGAGAUGGGGUUUCACCACGUUGGCCAGGCUGGUCUGGAACUCCUGACCUCAGGUGAUCCGCCUGCCUUGGACUCCCAAAGUGCUGGGAUUACAGACGUGAGCCACCGUGCCCGGCCAGUUCUAUGAGUUUUGAUGAAUGUGUCCUGCUUCUUCCCAGGCUCCACCAUCUCUUCCCCUAAAGGCAACCACCAUUCUGAUUUCUCUCACCAAAGACUGGAAAAAUAUCCCAAUACCUGGAUGUAUGCCUCACGUGUCCCGCUGGCCCCAGCACCCAGGUAUAGUUAGUUACUGCUGUGCCUGGCUUCACUCUCACUUUUUUUUUUUUUUUCUUUUUUUGAGACAUAGUCUCGCUCUGUAGCCCAGGCUGGAGUGCAGUGUGGCACAAUCUCAGCUCACUGCAACCUUCACCUCCCAGGUUCAAGCGAUUCUCCUGCCUCAGCCUCUCGAGUAGCUGCGACUACAGGUGCCCACCACCACACCUGGCUAAUUUUUGUAUUUUUAGUAGAGAUGGGGUUUCACCUUGUUGGCCAGGCUGGUCUCGAACUCCUGACCUCAAGUGAUCCACCUGCCUCAGCCUCCCAAGGUGCUGGGAUUGCAGGCCGGCCUUACCUGGUAUGGUUUUUAGGUUCAUGUUGAUGCCUGGAGUUUCAGUAAUUCCCUCCCAUUCGUUGCUGAGUAGCACUGCAACACAUGCAGGCAGCUAUUUGGGGAUCUUUUCACCUGUUGAUGGGUGUCUGGACUGUUUCCAGUUUUUGGCUGUUACAAAUGAAGCCUCUGUGAGCCA